UUUUUUUUUCUUGUUACAGAGGCUUCAUCUCAGGAACUGGCCGUGUCUUCCCAAAGGUUCCUGCAGUGUCUCCAUCACUGCCCUGACACAUACUUGCCCCUUUAUCUACUCAUCCACUUACCCUGAAAAUAACCAAAAAAAAAAAAAAAAAAGAAAAGAAAAGAAAAAACUGUGGAGGUGACAGUGGCUAUGUGGAAGCAGGGAUGAACUUGACAUGCUGGCUCCUAUGAAGCUGAAAAACAUAAAAAUGAAGACUUCUAUUUAAAGUAACACUGCUCUGUCCCAGGAAAUCCUUUUGUUUUUUACCUUUUUUAAAAAUAAAAAUCGAAUAUUUGAAGAUAUACAACAUGAUUUCAUGCACAUAUACAUAAGUGAAAUAAUUAAUCUAAUUAUUGUCACAUCCUUUUUUGUGUGUGAUGAGGCACUUGAAACCUAUGUCUUACCACAUUUCCAAUAUUAAGUACAGUAUUGUUUUCACUGAAGUAUAGUUGAUUUACAAUACUGUGUUCAUUUCAGGUAUAUAACAAACUGAUUCAGUUGUGUGUGUGUAUUUCUAUUCUUUUCCAUUCUAUUUUAUUACAAGAUAUUGAAUAUAAUUCCCUGUGCUAUACAGUAAAUCCUUGUUGUUUAUCUGUUUUAUAUAUGGUAGUUUACAUCUUUUAAUCCCAUACCCCUAAUUGAUCCCUACCACCCUCCCUUUCCCCUUGGUAGUCAUAAGUUUGCUUCCUUUCCUUUUCCUUUCCUUUCCUUUCCUUUCCUUUCCUUUCCUUUCCUUUCCUUUCCUUUCCUUUCCUUUCCUUUUCUUUUCCUUCUUUGCUUCUUAGGGCCACAGGUACAGCAUAUGGAAGUUUCCAGGCUUGGGGUCAAAUCAGAACUACAGCUGCCAGCCUACGCCACAACCACAUUAACGACAGAUCUGAGCUGCAUCUGUGACCUACACUGCAACCCAUGGCAUCACCGGAUGCUUUAACCCACUGAGUGAGGCCAGGGAUCAAACCCGCAUCCUCAUGGAUCCUAAUGGCAUCCUUUCAUUCUUUUGUAUGGCUAAGUAAUAUGCCAUUGUGUGUGUGUGUCUGUGUGUGUAUGUGUCUGUGUACCACAUGCUCUUUAUACAUUCAUCUGUCAGUAGAAAUUUAGGUUGCUUCCAUGUCUUAGUUUUUGUAAAUCAUGCUGGUAUAAACAUUGUGUUUACAUGUAUCUUUGAAAUUGGAGCUUUUGUAUUUUCCAGAUAUGUGCCCAGGAGUGGGAUUGCUGGAUCUUACAGUAUCUCUAUUAGUUUUUUGAGGAACCUCCAUAUUGUUUUCCACAGUGGUUGCACCAAUUGAUAUUCCCACCAACAGUGUAGGAGGGUUCCCUUUUCUCCACAUCCUCCCCAGCAUUUAUUAUUUGCAGACUUGUUGAUGAUGGCCAUUCUGACCAAUUUGAGGUCAUACCUCAAUGAGUUUUCACUUGCAUUUAUCUAAUAAUUAGUGAUAUUGAAUAUCUUUUCAUGUGCUUUUUGGUCAUCUGUAUGUCUUCUUUGGAGAAAUGUCUAUUUAGGUCUUCUGCCCAUUUUUUACAUCAGAUUGUUUGGUUUUUUUUUUUUAUCUCUAGAUGUAUUUAUCCUACAUAAUUGCACCUUUUUUUGCAUGUUUGUAUCAAAUAUUUUCUAUUUGAUUUAAAUGUAUGGACCUCACAUUCAGGUCCCUUUAGAAGACAGAGAGGAGGGAAUAUCUGUGAAUGGUUGUGAGUUGAGAUAUCAUUCCAUAGCCAUCCAUCUAUCCACCCUAAUCCAUCUAUCUAUCCAUCACAAUCCAUCCAUCCAUCCGUACACUACCAACCACCCAUCCAUCCAUCCAUUCACACAUAGUCUGGGAGGAUCUGAUGGAUGCAGGGUCAGGCUAGGUGCAGGGGGAAUGUCUAUCUGCUACAAAACUUCCUGUAUUAUUUGUAUCAAAGUGCAGUUUUUUAAAAAGUAUUUUUUCUUUCCAUCUUGAAGUCACAGAGCAAUUGCUGGCAUUUACUUACCUUCUGCACCAGCAGUCCUUGCCUUGUUGGCUUUGAAAUUAAUUUUCUUUAUCUUGACACAAAGACCCAAAAUAUGAUUUUCUUCCCAUAGGAACAGAUGGUGAGGAGGAAGAAGAACUUACAACUUACCAAAAGGGGCAUACUAUAUUUAAGCAGCAUAUUAAUACUCAAUGGUACAGCUGGACAGAUUGUGUUCCUCCUAGAGAAUGUUGCUGUUGCUUUUCUGAAAUUCAGUAGUGCUAUCAUAACAUACUUAGUGGAAAACAUGGAUAAUGGGAAGAAAGGAAUAAAGAAAGGAAGGAAGGGGGAAAGGAAGGAAGGGAGGAAGGAUAAAGAGAGAAGGGAAGAAAGAAAAACAGAUACUGGAAAGAGAACAAAUCAAGGCAAGGAUUAAAGUGAUGAAAUACUUCGUGUUAUUAAAGAAACCCACAUUACCUGAUUCUUUAAGAGUGAAAAAGAAAAAUACGUUUUAACUCAUC
Molecule: long non-coding RNA, 2486 nt
Filed under: Sus scrofa (pig)
Lineage: Eukaryota; Metazoa; Chordata; Mammalia; Artiodactyla; Suidae
Description: lncRNA (ENSSSCG00040046328.1)
Source: RNAcentral